CGGACGGGUGAGUAAUGUCUGGGAAACUGCCUGAUGGAGGGGGAUAACUACUGGAAACGGUAGCUAAUACCGCAUAACGUCGCAAGACCAAGAGGGGACCUUCGGGCCUCUUGCCAUCAGAUGUGCCCAGAUGGGAUUAGCUAGUAGGUGGGGUAACGGCUCACCUAGGCGACGAUCCCUAGCUGGUCUGAGAGGAUGACCAGCCACACUGGAACUGAGACACGGUCCAG
This 230-nucleotide ribosomal RNA is filed under the name uncultured Enterobacterales bacterium. RNAcentral's name for it is "partial 16S ribosomal RNA". It matches the Rfam family "Bacterial small subunit ribosomal RNA", at positions 99 to 334 of the family's 1533-position model. Lineage: Bacteria; Pseudomonadati; Pseudomonadota; Gammaproteobacteria; Enterobacterales. The record is from RNAcentral.